This 74-nucleotide transfer RNA is filed under the name Marmota monax (woodchuck). RNAcentral describes it as "tRNA.Ala". Lineage: Eukaryota; Metazoa; Chordata; Mammalia; Rodentia; Sciuridae. The record is from RNAcentral.
GGGGAUGUGGCUCAAGCGGUAGCGCGCUCGCCUGGCAUGCGUGCGGCCCGGGUGCGGCCCGGGUUCCAUCCUCA